UGAAACAGUUAACUGUAGAGUUU
This 23-nucleotide non-coding RNA is filed under the name Arabidopsis thaliana (thale cress). Lineage: Eukaryota; Viridiplantae; Streptophyta; Magnoliopsida; Brassicales; Brassicaceae. The record is from RNAcentral.